AGAAACUUUCCCUUCCCCCAAAAAUGCUGUUCCAUUUUAUUAAAACCUGUUUUACAAUUUUUACUCUGAAAAAAACAAAUAAACAUUCUGAAUUUUAUUUUUUGUUUAAAAAAACCUAAAUACUUUAUGCUUUCCAUCUCCCUCACUCUCCCUUUACUCUUCAGUCGAAAGGCUAAUGCCCAAGCUCUCCAUUCGCAACCAGCGAAGGUCUUCCUACGAUGACUCCGGUCGUGGAGACGUGAAUGGACGUGGGCGAGCAACGAACUAGUUGGGGGUCAUGCCUAGUGUGCCGACGUGUGUGGUGGAGAGGCGCUGAACGUGGGGGUUGCGGCGUGGGUAACCUAGGGAUUCCUAAGUUAGCUGACUAUUUUGCUUGGAAUUUUGGAUCAAUGUAUUGAGCCUGUUUAAUUUAGGCCAAAGCUGUAUUUUGGGCCGACAUUUAAACUUGAGCUUCAAAAUCUAUAUUGGACUGUAUUUUUAUUUUGAUUUUUACAGAAAUUUAAAAACCCGGGCAAAAUGGGCCUUUUACAAUAA
Long non-coding RNA from Gossypium arboreum, 534 nucleotides. RefSeq lists it as uncharacterized. Lineage: Eukaryota; Viridiplantae; Streptophyta; Magnoliopsida; Malvales; Malvaceae. The record is from RefSeq and is a predicted model, not a curated record. The transcript has 2 exons.